RNAcentral lists this transfer RNA (87 nucleotides) under Gemmatimonadaceae bacterium. Its description in RNAcentral is "tRNA-Ser". It matches the Rfam family "tRNA". Rfam says of the family: Transfer RNA (tRNA) molecules are approximately 80 nucleotides in length. Their secondary structure includes four short double-helical elements and three loops (D, anti-codon, and T loops). Further hydrogen bonds mediate the characteristic L-shaped molecular structure. tRNAs have two regions of fundamental functional importance: the anti-codon, which is responsible for specific mRNA codon recognition, and the 3' end, to which the tRNAs corresponding amino acid is attached (by aminoacyl-tRNA synthetases). tRNAs cope with the degeneracy of the genetic code in two manners: having more than one tRNA (with a specific anti-codon) for a particular amino acid; and 'wobble' base-pairing, i.e. permitting non-standard base-pairing at the 3rd anti-codon position. Lineage: Bacteria; Pseudomonadati; Gemmatimonadota; Gemmatimonadia; Gemmatimonadales; Gemmatimonadaceae. The record is from RNAcentral. RNAcentral also lists the same sequence under 1 other name.
GGACAGGUGUCCGAGUGGCUGAAGGAGCCGGUCUCGAAAACCGGUGUACCGGUAACGGUACCGUGGGUUCGAAUCCCACCCUGUCCG